Odocoileus virginianus texanus is the source of this 2212-nucleotide non-coding RNA. NCBI's taxonomy places the organism in Eukaryota, Metazoa, Chordata, Mammalia, Artiodactyla, Cervidae. The record is from RefSeq and is a predicted model, not a curated record.
AGGUUUGCAUUGGAAAUUAGAAACCCUGAGAUCUUAGGAAGCUGUUGCCUAUUCCUCCUUACAGGGGCAGUUUUCUUCUGACCUGCCAGGGUGAGCACUUGGAUACACUCACAUAUGCACACUCACAUUGACAUUUAAUAAGGACUGUGGGCUGGGAUAAGAAGAGGGACAGUUAUGAGGAAGUUAAUAAUAAUAUACAGGGGUUGGAGGCACUGCCUGCCUGGGACAUGGGCUCCGAUAUUUUCUAAGUCUUGUCCCACCUAUGUCUGAGGACAUCCCUAGAAGUCCAUGCUGGCAUCAUUCCCGGUGUGCAGGUGGGGACACCGACAGGCUUUGAGAGACAGGGACUCAUCCAGGAUGGAGAACAGGUAGGAAACGGGAGGUGAGUCUGGACCCAGGUCUGUCUCUUGAGAGCUGCACACACAGCCUGCCUGGGAGCUGUGUGGAGGCCUGUGUGGUGCAACUGUGUGAGGCCCAGGGCUGCGUGGAUGUGGGAUGAGCGGUCAGGAUCCCGAGGGCUAUGUGCAGGGCUGUCAACUGCCAAUCCAAGGAAGGGGCCCCCGGGUGCUGAAGUCACUUCCUCGAUGGCAGACCCUAACAGAACUCGGAACCCUGUAACCAGGCACCCACCUUCUGGCAACAGCGCCACAGCCAGUUGGGGCUCACUCGGCUGGAAAGUCUUCAUCCAGAAGGAUGUUCUCCAGCUGUGUCUCGACUGGCCAGGGCUUCUGCUUCAGGAAACCCUGGAGGGAGACGUUUUUCAGAUGUUUCAGGCGGUUCAGUGCUCAACCUGGAUUCCUCUGGUCCUUUACCAGGAGGUCACCUAAGGGCUCCUCACGGGACUGCAGACAGGAGCCGGUCCUCUGAACCCCCUGCUCCACAUCCCUUCACGAGGGGCAGGAGCCCCACACCAGCGACAGAGCUCAGGGAGGGCACAUGGGGGAAAGUGUGUCCGCAGGGAACAGGAAAGAGACCUGCAGGCUGUGGAGCGUCCAGAGACGCAGACUGGAGACGUUGGUGGGCAACCUGGUGCCUGCCUUCCUGGGCCCUGACCCCUCUUACCUCCCCACAUUUUGGGGCACCUAAAGGGCUUUUGGUAACCGCCAGCAGCUGCUGGACCUUCUCUUCAUGAGGUACGGAUGCAUCCUCCCUUACUGCAAUGAGGAUGGUGGACCCCUGUACCAGCUGAAAAUCCACCAGAUUGUCCCUGCCUGAAGAUGCUCCUCGUGUACGUAGAGCUCAGCAUGCCCUACUCGGACAUGGAGCAGUGAGCCCGCCAUCUCCUGGCGCAUCUAGAGACCCUGGAGCCCUCUGAGGCAGACGGGAAUGCAUCCACUGGAGAAGCCCUGGAAACUUCCCCAGAUCUAGAGCCAACAGCACUCCUACUGCCUGCAACAGCUUCACAGUCAGAGCAAGCUCAAAGCCCAGCUCGCAUUCAAGUUCAAGGACUGCAUCAAAUAAACAUGCCGGCUCCAAACCCGGAGAGGCGGUGUGCUCAUGCCGUGACUCUCCCUUAGGCUUGGAAGUGAGGAAAAGUACCUCCAGGCUUCACUUCUAGAUCAGAGAACGUGCAAGAAACAGCUCUCUUCCUCCUUCAGAGCCUGAAUCGCCCGGAAAUCCUGUGCCAGCGCUGCUUCUACAGCCUCAGUCCGCAGACUUAAGCCAACCUCGGCCAGGGCACUGCCUCGGCUCUGGAGCUCCUUGGUGCUUUGCAGUCAGCUGUGGCUCUGGUGUUAUCCAGCUGUGCUUCUAGAGACCCCAGCAGACACAGCUUUUCUAGCAGCUCAGGCACUGGAGCCAGUUCCUCCCCUAACAUCCCUGAAGCAGCUCCCACUUGAUCAGCCAGCCUCGCCUUCCCAGGCAGAUGCUGUGCUGCCCCUGUGCCAGCGCCAGCCUUGAGCCUGUGUCUCCACCCCGAAUCUUCCCUCUCUUAAUAUGUGUUUUGAUUUUUGAUUACAUGUACAAACUUAUUUUUUCUGUGAGACAAAGUGAACUUAGAAACUGAAUUCUAUGAGUUUUUAAAUUGUAUGUGUGAGUGGCAUGGAGAACAUUCACUAGGAUGACCUGUCUGUUGUCUGUUGCAGAGCAUCUGCAUCCUAUUUGAUGCCAAAUAAUCCUGCAGGCUGGGACGGCACUGCACUCGACUCUCUCCUCAGCUGUUGAUGGACAAUAGGAUUAUUUUCACCUGCGGGCUCUUGUGCAUAGUGCUGCU